UUUCCUGCCCCUCUCACUAUUUCCCUCCCCGUUUGCUGAAGUCCGGUUUAGCGCCAUCGUUCAGAAAGAGCAGGGCCCGAAGCUGGGCGCGGUCCUCCAGGCGAGGCCUCGUGGUGCCAACUAGAGCAGAAGAAUCGCUCCGCUCGCCUUGCAAGUGCCACUGCUGUCAGUGCAGCCGGGUCUGCCUUCGCGCAGCCUGGUCCGCUGCUGCCUUUUUUGCAACAAGAGUGCGCUGUUGGCUCAUACUUGCCAUACGGGCCCGUACGGGGACAGUGAUUUGAUUUGGUGAUUCGAAUUACUGUCCAGAUUCGAUUUGGCCGAAUCUGACUCGGAGAUGGGCCUGAAUCGGCCAGGCCCAGCCCCUGCCUGCUCUCCCAGCCGGGUAUUGAAUGCCCCAGCUCCCGGCACUUGCUGGGGGGGGAAAAAGCCCUGACUCAGCAGCAGCUGCUGGGUGGGGGGGCAAUCCCUGCUACCCCUCACUGCCCCACACUGCAUGGGGGGCUCUCCACAAGCCCCAGGACUCCCCCUCUCACUCCCCCAGCCCCCCCACGGGUGCCCCUUCUGUGCCAGCUCCGGCCCUUUAAGAAGAAAAAAACAGAAAAAAACCCGGGCCUCACUGCUCCUGCCGGUGGGAGGUGAUCCCUGCUGCCCCCCGUAGCCCCACGCAGCCCCACGCCACAUGAGGGGCUCUGCAUGAGCCCCCAAAGCCCAGAUGCUGCUGCAGGAGUGGGAUCGGGACUCCCCCACCGUGAUUCAAGAUGGACUUGAGGGGAACGCCUCCAGACCUAAGGUUGAGGAGGACCGGGUUAGAGUGCUACUGGAGGGGCUGGACGUGUUCAAAUCAGCAGGUCCAGAUGCUCUGCACUCCAGGGUGUUGAGGAAGCUAGCAGGGGUUAUUGCAGGGCCCUUGGCAUGGCUUUACGAGCGCUCGUGGUGCUUGGGCCAGGUGCCAGAUGAUUGGAAGAUAGCCAAUGCGGUCCCCAUCUUUAAAAAAGGGAGGAGGGAGGACCCGGGCAACUAUAGGUCCGUCAGUCUUACCUCAAUCCUGGGGAAACUCUGAGAAGAUCAUCAAGGAGCAGAUCUGUGAUGGGCCAGCAUCGGGGAUGAUGCUCAAGGGCAACCAGCACGGUUUCAUUAGGGGCAGGUCAUGUCAGACCAACCUGACUGCCUUUUACGAUCAGGUCACAAGAGCAUUGGAUGCAGGUGUCGCCGUGGAUGUAGUCUUUCUGGACUUCAGCAAGGCCUUUGACACUGUCAACCACCCCAUCCUCAUUAAAAAACUAGGCGACUGUGGCAUCGAUGCCUACACAGUCAGAUGGGUUGCAAAUUGGCUGAAGGGUCAUACUCGGAGGGUGUUGGUGGACAGGUCAUAUUUGACCUGGGGGGAAGUGGGCAGCGGAGUCCCCCAGGGCUCGGGUCUUAGGCCCACACUGUUCAAUUUCUUUAUCAGCGAUUUGGAUGACGGGGUGAAAAUCAACCUGUUCAAAUUUCCUGAUGAUAGCAAAAUAUGGGGUGAAGUGGGCAUGUCAGCAGGGAGGGGAAAGACUGCAGAAAGACCUGGAUAGGGUGCAGGGGUGGGCUAACAAAAACAAGAUGCAUUUCAAUACUGACAAGUGCAGGGUGCUGCACUUGGGCAGGAGUAACCAGCAGCACACUUAUAAGAUGGGAAAUUCCCUUGUUGAGAGCACGGAGGCAGAAAGGGAUCUUGAAGUCAUCAUUGACUCCAAGAUGAACAUGGGCCAACAAUAUGAGGUCACGGUCGGCAGGGCUAACCGGACCUUAUCGUGCAUCCACAGGUGCAUCUCAAGUAGGGCCAAGGAGGUGAUCCUCCCCCUCUACGCGACACUGGUCAGCCCGCAGCUGGAGUACUGUGUCCAGUUCUGGGCACCCCACUUCAAGAGGGAUGUGGACAACAUUGAGAGGGUCCAGAGGAGGGCCACCCACAUGAUCCAGGGACAGCAGGGCAGACCCUAUAAUGAGAGGCUAUGGGACCUGAAUCUGUUCAGCCUUCACAAGAGAAGGCUGAGGGGGGACCUGGUGACCGUUUAUAAACUCACUAGGGGGGACCAGAAGAGUUUGAGGGAGACCUUGUUUCCCCUAGCGCCCCCCAGGAUAACAAGGAAUAACGGCCACAAGUUGUUGGAGAGUAGGUUUAGAUUAGACAUCCGUAAGAACUACUUCACAGUUAGGGCAAAUAGGAUCUGGAACCAACUUCCAAGGGAAGUGGUGCUGGCUCCUACCCUGGUGGUCUUUAAGAAGCGACUCGAUGCCUACCUGGCUGGGGUCAUUUGAGCCCAGUUUUCUUCCCGCCCAGGCAGGGGGGGGCAGACUUGAAGAUCUACAAGGUCCCUUCCGACCCAACUUCUAUGAUUCUAUGAACCCUCAGCACAGAAUUUAGGAUCCUACUGGCAGAAAUCUACGUUCUACAUGUGACAGUUUUAUUUUCACUCAAUAGCAACAGCUCCAAGCAUUUUGCUGACAUGUUCAUCAUAACUCUUUGCUGCCUUUGGUACUACUGUUUAGGGGCUGAGGGUUCAUCGGAGGGAAACAGGUAUCUUACCAUCACGGCUUUAGGACAAUGUUUGCCCAAGCUAGCUAGAUGAAAGCGAACUCAAAUAUAUUUAUACAUGUUGCAAUCUCAUUCUGUUUACAGAGGCUUGGAUCCAAUUGUGCCUUAGUAUUGACCGUUCUGUCUCU
Molecule: RNA transcript, 2697 nt
Organism: Alligator mississippiensis (American alligator)
Lineage: Eukaryota; Metazoa; Chordata; Crocodylia; Alligatoridae
Exons: 2
Source: RefSeq, a predicted model, not a curated record